UCCGAUUGAUCCCGUAGGACCCCACUGCUAUCGAGAUGGGACUAAGGUAUGCUAGUCGAACGACCAGAACUAUGUCUGGAAGUGGCACACUGCUCAGUAACACGUAGCUAACCUACCCUUAGGACGUGGAUACCCCCGAGAAAUUGGGGUUAAUCCGCGAUAGAUGUAAUGUCCUGGAAUGGUAUUACGUCUAAAGGUAUUUCAUACAUGUUUGAAAUAUGCCUAAGGAUGGGGCUGCGGCCAUCAGGCUGUUGGUGAGGUAAUGGCUCACCAAACCUUUGACCGGUACGGGCCAUGAGAGUGGUAGCCCGGAGAUGGACACUGAGACAAGGGUCCAGGCCCUAAGGGGCGCAGCAACCGCGAAACCUCCACAAUGCACUCACGUGCGAUGGGGCUAUCUCGAGUGCCACCUGAUGAAGGUGGCUUUUCCUAGGUCUUCAAAGCCUUGGGAAUAAGAGGGGGGCAAGACUGGUGUCAGCCGCCGCGGUAACACCAGCCCCUCGAGUGGUGGGGAUGAUUAUUUGGCCUAAAGCGUCCGUAGCCGGCCGAGCAAGUCUUCCGUUAAAUCCAGCGUCUCAAGCGUUGGACCGCGGGAGAUACUACACGGCUAGAGAGUGGGAGAGGUCAGCGGUAUUCUGGGGGUAGGGGCGAAAUCCUUUGAUCCCCGGAGGACCACCAGUGGCGAAGGCUGCUGACUAGAACACGUCUGACGGUCAGGGACGAAAGCUGGGGUAGCGAACCGGAUUAGAUACCCGGGUAGUCCCAGCCGUAAACGAUGCAUGCUAGGUGUUGGGUUGGCCACGAGCCACCCCAGUGCCGCAGGGAAGCCGUUAAGCAUGCCGCCUGGGAAGUACGAUCGCAAGAUUGAAACUUAAAGGAAUUGGCGGGGGAGCACCACCAGGCGUGAAGCCUGCGGUUUAAUUGGAGUCAACGCCGGGAACCUUACCGGGAGCGACAGCAGAAUGAAGGCCAGAUUGAAGAUCUUGCCAGACGAGCUGAGAGGAGGUGCAUGGCCGUCGCCAGUUCGUGCCGUGAGGUGUUCUCUUAAGUGAGAUAACGAACGAGACCCGUGCCACAUGUUGCCACCAGUAUCUAAAGGAUAGCUGAGCACUCUUGUGGGACCGCAGCCGAUAAGGCUGAGGAAGGUACGGGCAACGGCAGGUCAGUAUGCCCCGAAUCUCCCGGGCCACACGCGGGCUGCAAUGGUACAGACAGAGGGCUGCCACCCCGAAAGGGGGAGCCAAUCCCUAAACUGUACCUCAGUUGGGAUCGAGGGUUGCAACCCACCCUCGUGAACAUGGAAUGCCUAGUAACCGCCAGUCAUCAUCUGGCGGUGAAUACGUCCCUGCUCCUUGCACACACUGCCCGUCGAACCACCCGAAUGAGGUUUGGGUGAGGAAUGGUCGAAUGUUGGCCGUUUCGAACCUGGGCCUCGUAAGGAGGGUUAAGUCGUAACAAGGUG
This 1462-nucleotide ribosomal RNA is filed under the name metagenome. RNAcentral describes it as "bacterial SSU rRNA". It matches the Rfam family "Archaeal small subunit ribosomal RNA". The record is from RNAcentral.